GACGAACGCUGGCGGCGUGCUUAACACAUGCAAGUCGAACGGAAAGGCCCUGCUUUUGUGGGGUGCUCGAGUGGCGAACGGGUGAGUAACACGUGAGUAACCUGCCCUUGACUUUGGGAUAACUUCAGGAAACUGGGGCUAAUACCGGAUAGGAGCUCCUGCUGCAUGGUGGGGGUUGGAAAGUUUCGGCGGUUGGGGAUGGACUCGCGGCUUAUCAGCUUGUUGGUGGGGUAGUGGCUUACCAAGGCUUUGACGGGUAGCCGGCCUGAGAGGGUGACCGGAGAGUGUGGAGCGGCGAGCGGGCGCGGGCGCUGAGGGGGGGGGAGUGGGGGGAAGAACGCAAGGGGGGAGGAAGCCUGACGCAGCAGCGCGGGGUGGGGGAGGGUGGGUGUGGGGUUUAACCCUGUGUUCGGGUGUGACGAGGGGUGAGGAGGGGUAAGGGGAAAAGAAGAACGGGGAAAGUACGGGCCAGCAGCGGCGGUAAUAUGCGGCAGAGCACCCGGCUGAAC
Molecule: ribosomal RNA, 509 nt
Filed under: uncultured bacterium
Lineage: Bacteria
Description: partial 16S ribosomal RNA
Rfam family: Bacterial small subunit ribosomal RNA (bases 15-371)
Source: RNAcentral